CCUACGGGAGGCAGCAGUGGGGAAUAUUGGACAAUGGGGGGAACCCUGAUCCAGCGAUGCCGUGUGUGUGAAGAAGGCCUGAGGGUUGUAAAGCACUUUUAGUGGGGAGGAGGUGUAUUUGGUUAAGAGCUGAGUAGACGGACGUUACCCACAGAAAAAGCACCGGCUAACUCCGUGCCAGCAGCCGCGGUAAUACGGAGGGUGCGAGCGUUAAUCGGAAUGACUGGGCGUAAAGGGUGAGUAGGUGGUUAAAUAAGUUAUAGGUGAAAUCAUAGGGCUCAACCUUGUGUGGAAUUAUAAUACUGUUUAACUAGAGUAUAGGAGAGGGUAGUGGAAUUUCCGGUGUAGCGGUGAAAUGCGUAGAGAUCGGAAGGAACACCAGUUGCGAAGGCGGCUACCUGGCCAUAUACUGACACUGAGUCACGAAGGCGUGGGUAGCAAACAGGAUUAGAUACCCUGGUAGUCCACGCUGUAAACGAUGUCAACUAGCUGUAUUUCACGUAGAGGUGGGGUGUGGNGAGACAACGACGAUAAGUUAGACCGCCGUGGGAGGUACGGUCGCGAAGAAUUAAACUACAAUAGAAGUUAGACGGCGUGAGACGUGCCGAACGGACGACGACGAGGGAGGUAGG
RNAcentral lists this ribosomal RNA (632 nucleotides) under uncultured bacterium. RNAcentral's name for it is "bacterial SSU rRNA". The stretch from base 1 to 545 matches the Rfam family "Bacterial small subunit ribosomal RNA", at positions 338 to 873 of the family's 1533-position model. The record is from RNAcentral.